GCGAACAUAUCAUCACUAAUGCAUUGGAUCCCAUCAGAACUCCGCAGUUAAGCAUGCUUGGGCAAGAGUAGUACUAGGAUAAGUCACUUCCUAGGAAGUUCUUGUUUUACACUCU
Tetracentron sinense is the source of this 115-nucleotide non-coding RNA. NCBI's taxonomy places the organism in Eukaryota, Viridiplantae, Streptophyta, Magnoliopsida, Trochodendrales, Trochodendraceae. The record is from the annotation of a GenBank genome assembly.